Molecule: ribosomal RNA, 492 nt
Filed under: uncultured bacterium
Lineage: Bacteria
Description: partial 16S ribosomal RNA
Rfam family: Bacterial small subunit ribosomal RNA
Source: RNAcentral
GGUGAACGCUGACGGUAGGCCUAACACAUGCAAGUCAAACUGCAUCACAGUAAGUACUUUCUCUUACGGGUGGCGAGUGGCGGACGGGUUAGGAAUACAUCGGCAUCUACUUUUUCGUGGGGUUUAACGUCGGGUGACUUUCGCUAAUACUGCAUACGACCUGCGUCUUAAAGCAGUGAAUCUUCUAACCUUUCUCGGUUAAAUUUGCCUAUGUCGGAUUAGCUAGUUGGCGGGGUAAAGGCCCACCAAGGCGACGAUCCGGAGCAGGAAUGAGAGGAUGGUCAGCCACACUGGAAGGGAGACACGGUACAAAGUCAUACGGGAGGCAGCAGUGGGGAAUAGUGGAGAAGGGGCGCAAGAGUGAGCAAGACAGACCGCGAGGGUGAAGAAGGAAUUCGGGUUGUAAAGCGCAUUUGUUGGGAAAGAAAAGCAGCAGGAUAAGACCCGGAUGUUCUGACGGUACCAAAAGAAUAAGCAACGGCUAACUUCGUG